Long non-coding RNA from Brassica napus (rape), 973 nucleotides. RefSeq lists it as uncharacterized. The record is from RefSeq and is a predicted model, not a curated record. NCBI's taxonomy places the organism in Eukaryota, Viridiplantae, Streptophyta, Magnoliopsida, Brassicales, Brassicaceae. The transcript is spliced from 5 exons.
UUCUUCUUCGGGUUUUUUUUUUUCCUUCUUAUUCAUCCCAAUCGAAUAAGCCACUGGAUCUCGUCUUUCCCAAACUCCUCCAUUUUGCACUCUGUAACUCAAUCAUCGUCGUCUCCACCAAGCCCUAAACCUCGAUCUCUCCUUGAACGACGAUUACGUCUCAUAAUCAUCUCUGCAAGACCUCGCAAACCCCUCAAUUUCAGUCCUUCAUGCGUCUCCUCAGAUUCCAAGUCCCCUGAUUCGAUAAAGGAGAGACGGAUGCAGCAGAGGCAACCAGUAGUCAUGGCUGAAAUCCUCGUCUCUCUCUUGCAGACUGGGAAAGCUUUUCUUAAGCAACCCAAGGUCUUCCUAAGCUAGAAGAAAUCUGGGAAAGGAAAGAGACUUGUUAAAGGUGGAAACCGUUUCUGGAAGAACAUUGGUUUGGGUGUUCAGACUCCAUUGAAGGAAAGUGUGUGUGGACUGUGGUGUUCAUUGGCAUGAUUCUAUGAGUUGUGAAGAGUUUCAGAUUCUUCCGGUUGAUGAAAGAUAUCCAGAUGAUAUCACAUUGCAUCGCUUGGCUAGGUGUGGACAUGAGUUUUGCUACUGUUACGGAGCAGAGUACAGACAAGGACAACAUAGUUGCACUUGUGACACAUUCAACUCAGAGCAAGAAACCGUCUCAGCUAGCUCUGAUCCAACGGUUCUUAGUGGGUGGUGGUGGUUUAGUCUCAGUGAUCACCAUACUUCUUAUCAGUCGCCGCAGCCUCCAUGUAGAGAGUCAUCGUAUGUUUAAGCAGCCAUGAAAAUCUUCACCAGCUUCCUUGCCUUGAAAGUUUCAUAUGCGACGACUCUGAAUGAAGUUGUUUGAAUGGUGUAUUGGUAGGAGGACGGGAUGGAAUCGGAUCUAGAGAAGCUCUUUAUUGGUUGGAUUUCAAGGACGCAUGAAGAAAAGUUUAAAACCGGUUGUGAUGUUAGAACCAAUGUUAAACAUGUU